GGGGGACCUUGGAUAAUGACAGUAAUUGUCACAACUUCCAAUCUUCCUCAAGCUUUAGAGUUCAGGACUCUGGAUCCCCUCACCAAGGCCACGGCACCAGAGAGGAUGAAAAGGGCCGAUGUUGCAUCUCAGCUGCCCUCUUAGCUGACUAGCCGCACGGAAAAAAAGAAUCCUUGGAAAAUGAAAUAACAUAUCUUUAUAACUAUUUUUCUCGACUGGGAUACAGCAGGGAGCAGAUGAGAAACCCAAUUUCCACCACUUUGCAAACACUGGAAGUGAAACUAUGCAGUUUUCUUCUGAAGCAAAUUGCUUUAAGUAGAAAAGCUGCUUCCAGCAAAAUGACGAAGCAUUCCAAGUAUCACCGGUGUGCAUGGUGUGGUCCAAAGGGGGCCCUGAAGCUUGCCGAGCACUAACAAGCCAUCUCUGGUUAGCGAGCCGACAGGUGCCUGCAAGUCCAAGCAGCAGAUGACAUCAGGCCGAGGCUGGGGUCCCACAGGCAAACUCACCCCAGCGGACCUCGUGAUACUUUGGGAGGCCAGGCUCACUGUCUCCCAUUCUAGUCACCUUGUUACCAACUCCUGUGGAAAAUUUAAUGUGGCCAGAAGGAAUUCUGACCUCUUUUAGACAAAAACAUGCUCAUGUUUUUAUGAUGAACUAUUGCAUAUUUUUAUUGAAAACAUUUAAUACUGCUCUAAAAGGGUGACUAUUUUUUAGGUAUUGCCCCACUGCUGAUUUCUGAUUGAAUGCUGCCAAGAACAAGAAAGGAGGAAAAAAAAAAAAAAAAAAAAACUGGAGACGCUAUCAGAUUCAUUAAACAUUGUAUUUAAUUGUUCUUGUAUUUAAACCCUGCCCUUAUCAGUGACAUUGCCACUUUUCUCAUUUUUCAAAGUUGCAUAUUGGAAGAAAACAAGAAAAGGGAGCAAUGGUGUGGCCUGGGAAACUAGGGUGUUUACUGCCUAGAGGAACCAGAAGUUCAUAUGGGCCUGGCUGGCUGAAGAAAUGACAGCUCAGCAUAGGGAAGGGGAGGGAAAAAAAAAAAAAAAAAAAAAAAGGCGAUAGCAGCAGCAAAGCAAGAACAAAACAUUUAAAGAGAUCUGGCCAGAACUGGUCUGCACAAAUUCCUGUCCUGCCUUCCUCCUCCUCGCUCCCACAAGCCGCAGCAAUCUUGCCUUCCCUAGGAAACUGCAACUCCUACCUCCUCCGAGGGGGCUGCGCACGCGCCCCGUGCCGGGGUGCGCGCAUUUUCCCUCU
Molecule: long non-coding RNA, 1251 nt
Filed under: Sus scrofa (pig)
Lineage: Eukaryota; Metazoa; Chordata; Mammalia; Artiodactyla; Suidae
Description: lncRNA (ENSSSCG00070013466.1)
Source: RNAcentral